CAGCAGCCGCGGGAAUACGAAGGGUGCAAGCGUUAAUCGGAAUUACUGGGCGUAAAGCGUGCGUAGGCGGUGAGUUAAGUCUGCUGUGAAAUCCCCGGGCUCAACCUGGGAACGGCAGUGGAUACUGGCUCGCUAGAGUGUGUCAGAGGAUGGUGGAAUUCCCGGUGUAGCGGUGAAAUGCGUAGAGAUCGGGAGGAACAUCAGUGGCGAAGGCGGCCAUCUGGGACAACACUGACGCUGAGGCACGAAAGCGUGGGGAGCAAACAGGAUUAGAUACCCGGGUAGUCCCUGUCUCUUAUAC
RNAcentral lists this ribosomal RNA (301 nucleotides) under uncultured bacterium. RNAcentral's name for it is "partial 16S ribosomal RNA". It matches the Rfam family "Bacterial small subunit ribosomal RNA", at positions 509 to 807 of the family's 1533-position model. The record is from RNAcentral.